This 746-nucleotide ribosomal RNA is filed under the name uncultured Lachnospiraceae bacterium. Its description in RNAcentral is "bacterial SSU rRNA". It matches the Rfam family "Bacterial small subunit ribosomal RNA", at positions 28 to 776 of the family's 1533-position model. Lineage: Bacteria; Bacillati; Bacillota; Clostridia; Lachnospirales; Lachnospiraceae. The record is from RNAcentral.
GAUGAACGCCGGCGGCGUGCCUAACACAUGCAAGUCGAACGAAGCAAUCGGAGGAAGUUUUCGGAUGGAAUCUGAUUGACUGAGUGGCGGACGGGUGAGUAACGCGUGGAUAACCUGCCUCACACUGGGGGAUAACAGUUAGAAAUGACUGCUAAUACCGCAUAAGCGCACGCUACCGCAUGGUAGCGUGUGAAAAACUCCGGUGGUGUGAGAUGGAUCCGCGUCUGAUUAGCCAGUUGGCGGGGUAACGGCCCACCAAAGCGACGAUCAGUAGCCGACCUGAGAGGGUGACCGGCCACAUUGGGACUGAGACACGGCCCAAACUCCUACGGGAGGCAGCAGUGGGGAAUAUUGCACAAUGGGCGAAAGCCUGAUGCAGCGACGCCGCGUGAGUGAAGAAGUAUUUCGGUAUGUAAAGCUCUAUCAGCAGGGAAGAAAAUGACGGUACCUGACUAAGAAGCCCCGGCUAACUACGUGCCAGCAGCCGCGGUAAUACGUAGGGGGCAAGCGUUAUCCGGAUUUACUGGGUGUAAAGGGAGCGUAGACGGCGAAGCAAGUCUGAAGUGAAAACCCAGGGCUCAACCCUGGGAGUGCUUUGGAAACUGUUUUGCUAGAGUGUCGGAGAGGUAAGUGGAAUUCCUAGUGUAGCGGUGAAAUGCGUAGAUAUUAGGAGGAACACCAGUGGCGAAGGCGGCUUACUGGACGAUAACUGACGUUGAGGCUCGAAAGCGUGGGGAGCAAACAGG